GAUACUGGCUCAGGAUGAACGCUAGCUACAGGCUUAACACAUGCAAGUCGAGGGGAAACGACAUCGAAAGCUUGCUUUUGAUGGGCGUCGACCGGCGCACGGGUGAGUAACGCGUAUCCAACCUGCCUACCACUUGGGGAUAACCUUGCGAAAGUAAGACUAAUACCCAAUGAUAUCUCUAGAAGACAUCUGAAAGAGAUUAAAGAUUCAUCGGUGAUGGAUGGGGAUGCGU
Molecule: ribosomal RNA, 232 nt
Filed under: uncultured bacterium
Lineage: Bacteria
Description: partial 16S ribosomal RNA
Rfam family: Bacterial small subunit ribosomal RNA
Source: RNAcentral